UCCCUGGUGGUCCAGUGGUUAGGACUCCAUGCUUUUACUCCUGGGGCUAAGGUUCGAUCCCUGGUCAGGGAA
This 72-nucleotide transfer RNA is filed under the name Bos taurus (domestic cattle). It matches the Rfam family "tRNA". From Rfam's summary of the family: Transfer RNA (tRNA) molecules are approximately 80 nucleotides in length. Their secondary structure includes four short double-helical elements and three loops (D, anti-codon, and T loops). RNAcentral also lists the same sequence under 5 other names. Lineage: Eukaryota; Metazoa; Chordata; Mammalia; Artiodactyla; Bovidae. The record is from Rfam by way of RNAcentral.